RNAcentral lists this ribosomal RNA (405 nucleotides) under uncultured bacterium. Its description in RNAcentral is "bacterial SSU rRNA". It matches the Rfam family "Bacterial small subunit ribosomal RNA", at positions 355 to 776 of the family's 1533-position model. The record is from RNAcentral.
UGGGGAAUUUUGCGCAAUGGGGGAAACCCUGACGCAGCAACGCCGCGUGCGGGAUGACGGCCUUCGGGUUGUAAACCGCUUUCAGUAGGGACGAACUAAUGACGGUACCUACAGAAGAAGCCCCGGCUAACUACGUGCCAGCAGCCGCGGUAAUACGUAGGGGGCGAGCGUUAUCCGGAUUCAUUGGGCGUAAAGCGCGCGUAGGCGGUCAUGUAAGCGGGACCUCUAAUCUUGGGGCUCAACCUCAAGCCGGGUUCCGAACUACAUGACUCGAGUGUGGUAGGGGAGAUCGGAAUUCCCGGUGUAGCGGUGGAAUGCGCAGAUAUCGGGAAGAACACCGAUGGCGAAGGCAGAUCUCUGGGCCAUAACUGACGCUGAGGCGCGAAAGCUAGGGGAGCAAACAGG